UCGAACGAACUCUGGUAUUGAUUGGUGCUUGCAUCAUGAUUUACAUUUGAGUGAGUGGCGAACUGGUGAGUAACACGUGGGAAACCUGCCCAGAAGCGGGGGAUAACACCUGGAAACAGAUGCUAAUACCGCAUAACAACUUGGACCGCAUGGUCCGAGYUUGAAAGAUGGCUUCGGCUAUCACUUUUGGAUGGUCCCGCGGCGUAUUAGCUAGAUGGUGGGGUAACGGCUCACCAUGGCAAUGAUACGUAGCCGACCUGAGAGGGUAAUCGGCCACAUUGGGACUGAGACACGGCCCAAACUCCUACGGGAGGCAGCAGUAGGGAAUCUUCCACAAUGGACGAAAGUCUGAUGGAGCAACGCCGCGUGAGUGAAGAAGGGUUUCGGCUCGUAAAACUCUGUUGUUAAAGAAGAACAUAUCUGAGAGUAACUGUUCAGGUAUUGACGGUAUUUAACCAGAAAGCCACGGCUAACUACGUGCCAGCMGCCGCGGUAAUWCGGUCAUAG
This 507-nucleotide ribosomal RNA is filed under the name Lactiplantibacillus plantarum. RNAcentral's name for it is "bacterial SSU rRNA". It matches the Rfam family "Bacterial small subunit ribosomal RNA", at positions 62 to 534 of the family's 1533-position model. Lineage: Bacteria; Bacillati; Bacillota; Bacilli; Lactobacillales; Lactobacillaceae. The record is from RNAcentral.